Molecule: ribosomal RNA, 403 nt
Filed under: Synalpheus yano
Lineage: Eukaryota; Metazoa; Arthropoda; Malacostraca; Decapoda; Alpheidae
Description: partial 16S ribosomal RNA
Rfam family: Bacterial large subunit ribosomal RNA
Source: RNAcentral
GUAAUUUGACCGUGCAAAGGUAGCAUAAUCAAUAGUCUUUUAAUUGGAGGCUUGAAUGAAAGGUUUGACGGAAGAAAGACUGUCUCUUUAGUUUUUAUUGAAUUUAACAUUUGUGUGAAAAGGCRUUAAUAGUUUGGAGGGACGAUAAGACCCUAUAAAACUUUACAUAUUAUAUUAUUUAACUAAAUUGUUAUAUUAAUUGUUAGAUUAAUAAUUGUGUUUUGCUGGGGCGGCAAAAAUAUAACUGUAACUGUUUGAAAUAUAAAAUAUYUAUUAAUAAAAUAAUGGUCCUUUAUUAAGGAGUAAAGAUUAAGUUACUUUAGGGAUAACAGCAUAAUUUCUUUAGAGAGUUCUUAUCGAAGAAGUUAGUUGUGACCUCGAUGUUGAAUUAAAUUUUCCUUUA